Molecule: long non-coding RNA, 3882 nt
Organism: Oncorhynchus tshawytscha (Chinook salmon)
Lineage: Eukaryota; Metazoa; Chordata; Actinopteri; Salmoniformes; Salmonidae
Source: Ensembl
CAUGAUCAUUGCUUCAGCCACACCAUCUCCCACACAUUCACCUACAUCAUCUUCCUCUUCACCUUCCUCCUCCCCCUAGCUCUCUGGCUGAAACAAGCAUCCUGACUGAAUGUCUCACUUCUGUUCAAAUGUCUAUUUAUCCGUUUAACCCAUAUAAAAAGGAAACUUCUGAAGAAAUUAUAUUUUUUUAAAGAAUCAAAAAUGAAAUCAGGAAUAACUAUUUAAUGAAGAUAUACAGGAUAAACAAUGUUAUUUAUCAUCAUUGUUUUGAUUACAGAGAUAACGAUUGCUAGGUCUCCAUUUUCAUCAUUAGUAGUAUUAAUAUCAAGUUCAUUGUCAGGUUUUGCUUAAAGCAUCACUUGUUUAAUUUUCAUUGCAUCAAGUUGACAUCAUUCAUGUUAAUAUAAGCAUGCACACAUGUUUCUCCAUGUCCAUUCAGAACUGCACUAACACUGAGAGAGACAGAGGAGAGAGGAGUCCUACACACAGAGAGAGCGGACAAGAUGGAGGGAGGCGGAGAGAGGGGGUGAAUGGCUGUGUGGAGAGAGAGGGAAGUGGGGAAAAGGGAGUUUUCAGAAAUAGAGUGGGAGAACAAGCAAUCAAAGAGAGCAAGAGACAGGUAUAGAAAGAGAUAAAGGGAAAAGAUAAAGGUAUAUUGAGAGAGAGAGAGGCAGAGAGAGAGAGAGAGGCAGAGAGAGAGAGAGAGAGGCAGAGCAGGCAUGCAGAGGCAUAGAAAGAGAUAAAGGGGCAAGAGAAAGGUAUAUUGAGAGAGAGAGAGCGAGAGGGAGAGAGAGAGAGCGGCAGGCAUAGAAAGAGAUAAAGGGGAAAGAGAAAGGUAUAUUUAGAGAGCGAGAGAGAGAGAGAUAGGUAUAGAAAGAGAUAAAGGGGCAAGAGAAAGGUAUAUUUAGAGAGAGAGAGAGAGAGAGAGCGAGAGAGAGAGGCAGAGAGAGAGAGAGCGGCAGGCAGGCAUAGAAAGAGAUAUAUAUUUAGAGAGAGAGAGAGAGAGAGAGAGAGAGGUAUAGAAAGAGAUAAAGGGGCAAGAGAAAGGUAUAUUUAGAGAGAGGGAGAGAGAGAGGAGAUAUAUUUAGAGAGAGAGAGAGAGAGAGAGGCAGGGGCAGAGAAAGAGAUAAAGGGGAAGGUAUAUUUAGAGAUAAAGGGGCAAGAGGAAGGUAUAUUUAAAGAGAGAGAGAGAGAGAGAGAGAGAGAGAGCGGCAGGCAGGCAUAGAAAGAGAUAAAGGGGCGAGAGGAAGGUAUAUUUAGAGAGAGAGAGAGAGCGAGAGAGAGCGAGGGUAAUACUGAGAGCACACUAGCAACCUCCAGUGCUGAGUGAGUGCUAACACCACAGUGUUAUGGGGCAGAGGAUCAUGUGGACUGUGAGGGAUAGAGACAGAGCCUGGAGAUAGGCCAAUGGAUCAAUACUAUAGUAUCUACUUAUACAGGCAGAUCAAUGACCUCCCAGAACAACCUGAGCAGACAUACAGUUCCAGAUGGAAAACUUCUGGCUAUGAUAUGGGAUAUACAGCUUUAAUCUGUGUACAUACCAAGCAUACCAGAAAGCAUCCCUGCACUUCCUUGGCCUGAAGUUGGAAUAGUAACUGGAUCCCCCUGAAUGCGUUUAAGGGGAAAUGGCAGCCAUAGCAUUAGUAGUGCUAACUGUUAGUUGAGGUUAUAGUAGCAGAAGUGGUGGUAGACAUGGUUCUCCCAUGGCAGUAGCCACAUGGUGCUUAAAGAGGAAGUGCAGAGCGUAAACAGGGGGUCAUUGUAUUUCACAAAGAUAAAGGACAUGGCUACCCCCUCUCUGUCUCCCCGUUUGGAGGGACUGCUAGGGGACAUAAAAGAGUCAUUACUCAGCCCAAAAUUCUACCUCAAGUAAUCAAAACGUAUCUAACAUCACGGUGCCAACUGGUUUCCCCUCAGACACACAGUACACAUUUACUAAAAGUAGUACACAACCAACACAGUUACUUAGAUCAGGCAGGGGGGGCACUUUUGAGUGACUGACAGCUGAUCUGGGAAACAACACACACAAUACACUCUAAUCUCUGUGAGAGACCGACUGUUCAUCAGGGAUCAUAAGUAUCCCACUCCCCACCAAGUGCAAUGGGUCCUACAACAAAUGGUUCCUCUAAGACACACAGGACAGAAGACACAUUUUGUUUAAAGACAGGAGUUUCAGUCUGUGGAUGCUAGGAAUGGUGUGGGGCCGCGAGGACAGGUAGAAGAUAGGGAUCUCAUGAGCACAGAAACAUGUCACACAGAAGGUCACAGUGACACACACAAACACACAGGCAUACACACACAGACGCACACAAAUACAAAACACACACACAAACACAGAAAUACACACAAAUCAAAGCAACACAAAUGUGUGUGUCCUUCUAACGUUGUCGUCCAGUCGGAGACAUGAUGGACUGCAGACAAUUUUAUCUUUUCAAAUUAAAUAAUGUCUUUCCGAAAAACAAAAUCUUGGAAUGAUAGAAAAAUUCAAUAUAAUGGUGAAAUCCUUCCCUGUAGGAUACAUUUCCAGUAAGUGCACUCCAAGCCGAGCAGGUCCGUCCUCAUCACAGUUCCCCUGUAGAGUCCUCUGGGGUAAAGUCUGCCAGUAUGUCCAAACAGGGGAACACUAUUCCUGUAACAUCCCAAGGCGCUCAAAUAGUUCAGGUCUUCAAGUACUCACAGUCACAUCCUUAGUGGAUCGUAAAAAAAUGGUAUGGAUAAAUUCCUUUCUGGAUGAUUAUAUUACACAAACCCCCAAAACCAAACAAAUGGAAAAAUAAAAGCAAAUUCACAUUAAUGAGCACCAUGAAGAAGGUGACAAAAUAAUGAGGCGAAGGGACACAUUUCAAGGUUACGUAACAUGCUUCAGCAGAUGGGUUCAUCCACAUUUCUCCCUCCCCUGACAUCAAUAAUAACGACCGGCAAAGGUUCCUUCCUCCAGCUAAAAGAAGCCAGAAAAGCCCAGAUCCAGAGGGUAGGCCCAAACCACUAGAGUCUCCACAACUGAUGUUUGUCCUGCUGGAAACACGACAUGGAUGUUUCUUAACUACACUUGUAUACGAAUGGCCUAAAGUAAAGCAUUGGCAUGGUUUGUCUUUUGAAGUCCAUACAGAGCAGAAACCUUAGGCCCAGGUUUGAUUGGAGGGAGAAAUGUGCAUCAUCACACUCCUUCUGGAUGAAUUACUGGCACUAACCUGAAGCACUGUGUGUGUGUGUGUGUGUGUGUGUGUGUGUGUGUGUGUGUGUGUGUGUGUGUGUGUGUGUGUGUGUGCGUGUGUGCGUGUGUGUGUGUGUGUGUCAGAGAUCUAAGUGUUGCUUGUAUAGAGUGUAGAUUCUGUAUUCCUGUGCUUCGUUGCGACAGGACAGGAGUUGGAAUAUUCAGCAGUAGCAGUAGAAUAGCAGUCGAUGUGUCUCCUUAUCUCUCUUUGUUUGAUGGAGAGAAUUAUUCACAGAUGAGCAGAAAGAAAGGAAAGUCUGGAACUGGAAAGAUGAUAAUAACCUGGGGAGAAGAGGAAAAAGAGAGAGAUAAAGCAGGAGACAGUGCAGAUGAGAAGAUACAUAAACAGAGAACACAGCCUUAGAGUACAGUAAGUCAGGGGGUGAGGUACAUAACAUCUAGAUGGUACAGAUACUCUUGCCUCACAGCUCGUUAAUCUAACAGCCUCUGAGUCUCAGCUGGAUCACAUUCACCAAGAUUAUAAUCACAAAGCUGUGGUUAUAUAGGUCCCUCCAAAGAAAGCUAUGGAAUAUUGAAAAAUUGUGUGUCAGGGUUGGGGUCCACUUCAAUAAAGGCAAUGCAGGAAAUCAAUUCAAUCUAAUUCAUGAAGCAGAAAUUGCCCGUCCUUUAUAAUGACGAUGUUUUCUAAAUCAUACAACUAAUUUAUC